UUGCGGGUUUGAAUGAUAAUGGCAAAGACUAGGGCAGUAUACAGUCAUUUCUUUUAAAAGACAAAUGAUGAAAAGAAAACGCACUUCUCAGGAGAAAGAAAACGAGUGGCUGAGGAAGAAUGUUCCUAAACGUACUCUGAGCAGAUGGAAAAGAAGGAAAAUCACCAGAACAUGCGCAGACAUUGAGCAACAUAGGCCUACUAUACAAUAUGAAAAUGAUGAAGAUUGUAGUCAAAGAGAAGAAAACACAAGGGC
Molecule: long non-coding RNA, 255 nt
Organism: Alosa alosa (allis shad)
Lineage: Eukaryota; Metazoa; Chordata; Actinopteri; Clupeiformes; Clupeidae
Exons: 3
Source: RefSeq, a predicted model, not a curated record